Molecule: non-coding RNA, 63 nt
Filed under: unclassified sequences
Description: cow-rumen-1 RNA
Rfam family: cow-rumen-1 RNA
About the family: cow rumen metagenome.
Source: Rfam by way of RNAcentral
UCACCGGGUACAAAGUUAGGACUUGUAUGUGUAAUUCCGGCAACCAGACACGAUCGAAAGAGG